GGGGUUGUAAUGGUUUCGACGGGGCGUAAGGAAGAUGACUGAAGCCUGCUCGGUUAGAGCAAAAACACAAACGCUAACAAAAUCGUUAGUUUCUCCCGUCAAACAGCACCAGUUGCUGCUUGAUUUCAAAGGAGAUGGGGUGAUAUCAGCCUUAUCAACCAAAUGAUCCAAGGAGCCUGGAAGGGCUCCACCUUU
This 195-nucleotide transfer-messenger RNA is filed under the name Prochlorococcus marinus str. MIT 9515. RNAcentral's name for it is "transfer-messenger RNA Proch_marin_9515". It matches the Rfam family "Cyanobacteria transfer-messenger RNA", at positions 99 to 288 of the family's 288-position model. Rfam says of the family: Bacterial tmRNA, also known as 10Sa RNA or SsrA, is named for its dual tRNA and mRNA-like properties. Its role is to liberate the mRNA from a stalled ribosome. Lineage: Bacteria; Bacillati; Cyanobacteriota; Cyanophyceae; Synechococcales; Prochlorococcaceae. The record is from RNAcentral.